This 218-nucleotide ribosomal RNA is filed under the name uncultured fungus. RNAcentral describes it as "partial small subunit ribosomal RNA". It matches the Rfam family "Eukaryotic small subunit ribosomal RNA", at positions 837 to 1054 of the family's 1831-position model. Lineage: Eukaryota; Fungi. The record is from RNAcentral.
UAUUUUGUUGGUUUCUAGGAUCGCCGUAAUGAUUAAUAGGGAUAGUUGGGGGCAUUAGUAUUCAAUUGUCAGAGGUGAAAUUCUUGGAUUUAUUGAAGACUAACUUCUGCGAAAGCAUUUGCCAAGGAUGUUUUCAUUAAUCAAGAACGAAAGUUAGGGGAUCGAAGACGAUCAGAUACCGUCGUAGUCNUAACCAUAAACUAUGCCGACUAGGAUCG